GUUCACAAUCAGUAACAUACUUCUGGAAUGUUUGCACGGGCACUGAUGAGGCUGUAAUACUGCCUUGUAGUCAAUAAGCUAAUUGUGCUACAUGAUCUGAUUGAUAGGUUGGAGAAAUAAUAUGUCCACACAGAUAAAGGAACUGAUAUAUACACUUAUGUCCAUGUUGAAAUGCAUUGAGUCUCAUUUAAAAAAAAAGUUGAAUAUCUGCCAUGUCUGUAAUGUAAUCCUGUUUGAAAACAUGGGAUCAUUCUGAACUUGAUAAAUGUGAGAACUCGUUGCUGAAUGUGCUUUAAACCACUGAUAAGUUGGUGAUACUAUGAUAAGAAUACUGGCAAUGUUCAUGCUCUGUAUAAUAUGUAGGUACGACUGAGGUACAGUUGAAUAAAUGUAAAGUUUAAUAAACAAUAGUGGAAAUUAUUUGUCCAUGCCAAGUAAGUCAAGCUGUAAUGCCACAUCCAAAGUAAAAUGAAGAACUUGAUCAUGUUGAUAAUGUCUAAUCCUUUUGUUGUAAAUCUGGUGAAACCAAAGUGCAUACAGGACGUGUCUAUGUCUCCAUUUC
This 562-nucleotide long non-coding RNA is filed under the name Mytilus galloprovincialis (Mediterranean mussel). The record is from RNAcentral. Lineage: Eukaryota; Metazoa; Mollusca; Bivalvia; Mytilida; Mytilidae.